GAUGCAGCCAUGCCGCGUGAGUGAUGAAGGCCUUAGGGUCGUAAAGCUCUUUCGCCGGGGAAGAUAAUGACAGUACCCGGUAAAGAAACCCCGGCUAACUCCGUGCCAGCAGCCGCGGU
This 119-nucleotide ribosomal RNA is filed under the name uncultured Alphaproteobacteria bacterium. Its description in RNAcentral is "partial 16S ribosomal RNA". It matches the Rfam family "Bacterial small subunit ribosomal RNA", at positions 385 to 521 of the family's 1533-position model. The record is from RNAcentral. Lineage: Bacteria; Pseudomonadati; Pseudomonadota; Alphaproteobacteria.